AGCCGCGGUAAUACAUAGGGGGCAAGCGUUAUCCGGAAUUAUUGGGCAUAAAGGGUGCGUAGGCGGCAAGUUAAGUUUAAGGUAUAAGCUCAUGGCUCAACCAUGGGAGGCUUUAGAAACUGGCUAGCUAGAGUGCAGUAGAGGCAAGUGGAAUUCCAUGUGUAGCGGUAAAAUGCGUAAAUAUAUGGAGGAACACCAGUAGCGAAGGCGGCUUGCUGGGCUGUAACUGACGCUGAGGCACGAAAGCGUGGGGAGCAAACAGGAUUAGAUACCCUGGUAGUCCACGCCGUAAACGAUGAGUACUAAGUGUCGGGGGAAUCUCGGUGCUGAAGCAAAUGUAAUAAGUACUCCGCCUGAGUAGUACGUGCGCAAGCAUGAAACUCAAAGGAAUUGACGGGACCCUGCACAAGCGGUGGAUCAUGUUGUUUAAUUCGUGGAUACGCGAAGAACCUUACCAGGCCUUGACAUCUUCUGCAAAGCUAUAGAGAUAUAGUGGAGGUUAACAGAAAGACAGGUGGUGCAUGGCC
This 527-nucleotide ribosomal RNA is filed under the name uncultured archaeon. Its description in RNAcentral is "bacterial SSU rRNA". It matches the Rfam family "Bacterial small subunit ribosomal RNA", at positions 513 to 1050 of the family's 1533-position model. The record is from RNAcentral.